CACCGCCCGUCACACCAUGGAAGCCAGCUGUACCGGAAGUCGGUGCGUUAACCCGCAAGGGAGACAGCCGCCUAUGGUAUGACUGGUGACUGGGGUGAAGUCGUAAACAAGGUACC
This 116-nucleotide ribosomal RNA is filed under the name uncultured bacterium. RNAcentral describes it as "partial 16S ribosomal RNA". It matches the Rfam family "Bacterial small subunit ribosomal RNA", at positions 1388 to 1500 of the family's 1533-position model. The record is from RNAcentral.